AUCAGAUGAGGCAUUGAGCGCCAGUGAAGCUCUCUGUCAUGGGCGAUUAUGCCGAAGUCAGCGGGCACCAAAGUGAAGGUCCCCACGGCUUUGAGGACGCGAAAGGCGAUGGAGGGACACUGGAAACUUCGUUCUUUAGUUGAAGAGUGUUUGGGCAAAUAGGGCGCGUUCCAGGCUCCUUACGUCCAUAAGCUCUUUGUUCCGCGUCCGUGAAUGAAUACAAAACCCGUUCCGUAGGUGAACGUGCGGAAGGAUCAUUA
This 260-nucleotide ribosomal RNA is filed under the name Exophiala sideris. Its description in RNAcentral is "partial 18S ribosomal RNA". Lineage: Eukaryota; Fungi; Ascomycota; Eurotiomycetes; Chaetothyriales; Herpotrichiellaceae. The record is from RNAcentral.